This 73-nucleotide transfer RNA is filed under the name Escherichia coli. Its description in RNAcentral is "tRNA-Val". It matches the Rfam family "tRNA". Rfam says of the family: Transfer RNA (tRNA) molecules are approximately 80 nucleotides in length. Their secondary structure includes four short double-helical elements and three loops (D, anti-codon, and T loops). The record is from RNAcentral. Lineage: Bacteria; Pseudomonadati; Pseudomonadota; Gammaproteobacteria; Enterobacterales; Enterobacteriaceae.
GGAUUAGCUCAGCUGGGAGAGCACCUCCCUUACAAGGAGGGGGUCGGCGGUUCGAUCCCGUCAUCACCCACCA